UGACAACGGACCUGCGCUCGGUGGAACUGGACACGGAUUGCACUGACAAUAAAAUUAAAUAUCGUCGAUCGCGUACCUACUUGCUACAGCGUUCUUAAAUUAUUUUCAUGAAACCUUUAGUUGUGUCGUGAAUAUUAACUAUUUAUCCUGUACAACUAUAUAGUGUAAAUUGUGAAAAAGAUGGGCAAUAAAAGUAAACCAAAGUGGACCAAGCGACAAAAUUUAAAACGCAAAAGGGAACAAGUCCGUAAUUUAAGAGCAAUGAAAAUGUCCAAAGCUUCGGGUAGUCGGUCGGUGUCUGUUGAAAUUCCUUUUGUUGAUGCCCAUAAUAACACCGGACUACAUUCAUUACUCCGCCAACUUGCCUACGUGACUACAGGCAGACCAAACCGCGUGGGAGAGGGACAGUGAUACGCGUUACGAAGCGUCUAAAAGAGAAAGGGCAUCGGGGUGAAAGACCGCACGAGCUAGAGAUUCACCAACUGGUUUCCCCUGGUUUUUUGGCAGGGUUAAGAUUUUGUGUGUUAGGGGUUGUGGGAUUUUGUUCCCCUGGCGUUUUGAGAUAAUAGAAUUAGAGAGUUAUUUAAGUCGCCGCUUACAAACUUUCACAAGUUAAGCGAUUUCAAUUAUAACUUAAUGUUUUACUGUUUGAAAUAGUCCUACUUAUAUGUAAUACGGUUUUACUUACAUAAACAACAUUGUAUUGUGUGUAUUGUUGUAACAACAGAUAUUUAAUUUCAAUAAUUACCUAUAGUGUAGUAUUAAUAUCUACCUACACAGUCAAAAUCGUAAGUCAAGAAAUAAAUACAUACUUACAUAAUAUCUCAAACAUUGUUUUUGGUCAUGUUAUCCUAGCUUUAAAGAAAAUAAUUUCGUAGUUAAUAAAACACAAUGCAAAACUAUUAUCAAGAUACAUAAUAGAACCCCAUGAAGCCGAAGGCACAGUUAGUUACUAAGUCUGAAAAAACCUACAAUAAUAAGGAAACGCACAACAAAUAAAUAUAAAUCAAUUACGACUAUAAAUAAUUAACGAAAUUCUGCGAAAUGCUAUCUACUUAAUUAAAAAAGUUCAUUCGAUUGUUUACAAUCGCAUCAAGAAAAAGUUAUGGGAACGCGAAGAAAUUUGAAAUGCAUUGUGCAUUGGAAAUGUACUUUUUGUCCAAAUUUCCCACAAUAAAUGCAAGUGAGUUAAUUUAAUGCAUUUCGAUGACUAAUGGCCACCGCACAAAGGGCCGUAAACACAGAACAUGGAAUCGUCGCGCGCCGCCCGCUACUAGAGACGGCAGGAAUAAUAAUAGCCGUAGCUGCAAUUGUGCGUUGAGCGCAUAAGUGCGCGCGACGAUUCCAUGCUCUGUGGCCGUAAAGCAUUGUCUUAUGGCUAUCUUUUGGCUUCUUUAUAAAUUUAACUGAAAUGAAGCAAUUUAUGAUGUAAAGGCAGUUUCACGUGUUUUACUUCAUUAGCACUUAAAUAAA
This is a long non-coding RNA of Ostrinia nubilalis (European corn borer), 1473 nucleotides long. RefSeq lists it as uncharacterized. The transcript has 3 exons. Lineage: Eukaryota; Metazoa; Arthropoda; Insecta; Lepidoptera; Crambidae. The record is from RefSeq and is a predicted model, not a curated record.